UUGGACAGACGGAGAAGCCCCUGAUAAGAGCUCCACAUAUAUUCGACAAAAUGGCAGUCAAAGACAAAAAUAUAUUGAUCCUCGACAUUUUUCUAUUCAAGUAUUGGAGAAAUUUUCUCUUGUCACCAGAUUUGCUCGUGAAACAAAAUCUCAACUUCUUCGUGAAGCUCAUGGUGAUGGUUUCAUUUCUAAUGCAAGGAGGAAGCAUGAAAAAAAGCCAAAUAAUUAUUCUUUUGUUGUUGAAUCUAAUGAUGUUCAUGAGCCGCUUGAAGAUGUUCCUGUGCCAGCAGAUUCUUUGGUGGUAAGAACCUCUCAUGUAAUCCAAUUCUCUUCUUAGUUUCAUUGCCUUCAUGAGCCGCCUGAAGAUGUUCCUGUGCCUGCAGAGUCUUUGGAGGUAAGAACCUCUUAUGUACUCCAAUUCUCUUUUUAGUUUCAUUGCCUUUACAGCUCCCGGCUUACAAGAAUGCUGUUCAUGACUUCCAUUCUUAUUUGUGCAUUUAAUUUAUUUGGAACUGGAAAUUUGAUUUGGUUAGUCAACAAUGAGAAUUCUGCACUUAUGCUUAAGAAGAUUUAGUAAUAUACGAAAAACUACAAGUCAAUAAGAAGUCAGACAAUUUCUUGCUUUAGUACUGCUGAUGCUCCGAUGAAGAAGUGGCAACACUGUUAACAUGAUUUAUCCUUGGGUCCAAAGAAUGAAUGCACCACUUUAGUUUAUUGUCUACUCUACUGAAAACUAUAAGAAUGAUCCUGCAAAAUGGCAUUUUCGGAUAUAAUAUCAACUCCAUAGACAGGACUGUUCUGA
This 802-nucleotide long non-coding RNA is filed under the name Nicotiana benthamiana. Its description in RNAcentral is "long non-coding RNA (NBEN_LNC037388)". The record is from RNAcentral. Lineage: Eukaryota; Viridiplantae; Streptophyta; Magnoliopsida; Solanales; Solanaceae.